CUUUGUUGAGACUGGGAUCUUCCUAAAUUGCCAGGGUUGAGCUGAAUUGCGAUCCUCCUGCCUCGGCCUCCCAGAGUGCUGCGACCAGAGAGUCUAAGGUCCCCAGGCUGGGAUCAAACCUGUGAUCCUCCUGCCUCAGCCUUCCAGAGCCGAAAGUACAGAUGCAGCCACCUCUGCAAAAGCCCCACCUGUGACCACAAGAGGCUCUGAGGGGCCGUCCAGACCCAGCCCUGACAGGGAGUUUCCGCCCUUUGGUCAGAGGAAUGCCAGAUAAACAGCCUGUCAGUUAAGCUUAUCAACAUAGUUACAAUGUCACAGAAAAGAGAUGCCCGAUUCCCAGGCCAGUGGAGUUUCAUCUUAUUCUGAAUAAAGGCCAUAUUAUAUUUAAAAA
This 391-nucleotide long non-coding RNA is filed under the name Heterocephalus glaber (naked mole-rat). RNAcentral describes it as "lncRNA (ENSHGLG00100049307.1)". Lineage: Eukaryota; Metazoa; Chordata; Mammalia; Rodentia; Bathyergidae. The record is from RNAcentral.